UACAGAGGGGGCAAGCGUUGUUCGGAAUUACUGGGCGUAAAGGGCGCGUAGGCGGCCGCCUAAGUCAGACGUGAAAUCCCUCGGCUCAACCGGGGAACUGCGUCUGAUACUGGGUGGCUUGAAUCCGGGAGAGGGAUGCGGAAUUCCAGGUGUAGCGGUGAAAUGCGUAGAUAUCUGGAGGAACACCGGUGGCGAAGGCGGCAUCCUGGACCGACACUGACACUGAGGAGCGAAAGCCAGGGGAGCAAACGGG
This 253-nucleotide ribosomal RNA is filed under the name uncultured bacterium. Its description in RNAcentral is "partial 16S ribosomal RNA". It matches the Rfam family "Bacterial small subunit ribosomal RNA", at positions 524 to 776 of the family's 1533-position model. The record is from RNAcentral.